Molecule: ribosomal RNA, 405 nt
Filed under: uncultured bacterium
Lineage: Bacteria
Description: bacterial SSU rRNA
Rfam family: Bacterial small subunit ribosomal RNA
Source: RNAcentral
UGGGGAAUAUUGCACAAUGGGGGAAACCCUGAUGCAGCAACGCCGCGUGAAGGAUGAAGGUUUUCGGAUCGUAAACUUCUUUGAUUGGGGACGAACAAUGACGGUACCCAAAAAACAAGCCACGGCUAACUACGUGCCAGCAGCCGCGGUAAUACGUAGGUGGCGAGCGUUGUCCGGAAUUACUGGGUGUAAAGGGCGUGUAGGCGGGGAUGUAAGUCAGAUGUGAAAUUCCAUGGCUUAACUGUGGCGCUGCAUCUGAAACUAUAUCUCUUGAGUGAUGGAGAGGAAAGUGGAAUUCCUAGUGUAGCGGUGAAAUGCGUAGAUAUUAGGAGGAACACCAGUGGCGAAGGCGACUUUCUGGACAUUAACUGACGCUGGGGCGCGAAAGCGUGGGGAGCAAACAGG